CCAUUCGAUCCGUAAGGACUGGAUGGGGAAACCGGCGAACGGGUGCGUAACACGUGAGGAACCUGCCCCGAAGAUCGGGAUAGCCCGAGGAAACUCGGAUUAAUACCGGAUACCCUCUUUGGACCACAUGGUCCGCUGAGGAAAUGGUCCGCCGCUUCGGGAUGGCCUCGCGGCCUAUCAGCUUGUUGGUGAGGUAACGGCUCACCAAGGCAAAGACGGGUAGCUGGUCUGAGAGGACGAUCAGCCACACUGGGACUGAGACACGGCCCAGACUCCUACGGGAGGCAGCAGCAGGGAAUAUUGCACAAUGGGCGAAAGCCUGAUGCAGCGACACCGCGUGCGGGAUGAAGGCCCUCGGGUUGUAAACCGCUUUCAGGAGGGACGAAAAUGACGGUACCUCCAGAAGAAGGCCCGGCCAACUACGUGCCAGCAGCCGCGGUAAUACGUAGGGGCCAAACGUUGUCCGGAUUUAUUGGGCGUAAAGGGCUCGUAGGCGGUUCAACAAGUCGAUCGUGAAAGCCCGGGGCUCAACCCCGGGACGCCGGUCGAAACUGUUGUGACUAGGGUCCGGUAGAGGUGAGUGGAAUUCUCGGUGUAGCGGUGGAAUGCGCAGAUAUCGAGAGGA
RNAcentral lists this ribosomal RNA (625 nucleotides) under uncultured bacterium. RNAcentral's name for it is "bacterial SSU rRNA". It matches the Rfam family "Bacterial small subunit ribosomal RNA", at positions 68 to 705 of the family's 1533-position model. The record is from RNAcentral.